RNAcentral lists this long non-coding RNA (3323 nucleotides) under Fragaria vesca (wild strawberry). RNAcentral describes it as "long non-coding RNA (FVES_LNC003708)". Lineage: Eukaryota; Viridiplantae; Streptophyta; Magnoliopsida; Rosales; Rosaceae. The record is from RNAcentral.
GGAAUCGUAUAUAUGCAUUGCUAAUUAGUAUACUAGGGUUUAGUUUCUAAUUAAGUAGACAGGCCGGUGUGUAUCGAUGUCUUUGAAAAAUAACAGACUUCGUUAUUGAUUGACGGUAUUCUAGCUUAGUUAUUACUAAGUAACUUGUAACUUAAUUAUUGAAACAUUUGCUUAGUUCUCUCGACGUUCAAUCCCCAUAAUUCUCAUAAUUACAUUGCUCUUCAGUUUAUUAGUCUAUAUAUGUAUCAAAAGAAAACAAAUUAAAAACAAAAGAUAAACCUCGAAUCAACACAUUUCACCAUUAAUUAUCAAAUAUAAACUUAUCCGUCCAAUAAUUUGCAAUGUGAUAUUUUAAAAAUAGAAACAUGCAUGUUAAUAGUGAGAAAUUGAAAUGACCGAUUUAUACCUAUAAAACCAUCCUUGUUGUUGAGAAAUUGAAGCUAUGAAAAAUCCGCAUUCAAAGUUUCGGCUCCUGCAAUAUAAAUAAUGAGAUCUUCUUAGAAUUUAGAAAAAAGAAAGAAAAAAAAAUGCACAAAUGCAUAGCAAAUAGGAUCUUAAGACUGAAAUAAACAAAAAACAAAAAACAAAAAAGAGGCCGGGACACAUACAUAGCAGGCAAUUGCAUGUAAUAGUAUCGAAAAAGAGUGAAAAAGAAGAAGAAAUGGAUGCUAGCGCUGGAUCAUCUAAGCAGAGAGAAAUGAUUGCACCUGACUCAUUAGUCCUCUCCUGCAGUUUAGCUCAAGUCCCGAUGGUGAUCCUCCUUGUCUUCCUAGCUAUAUAUAAAUAUGACAGUGACCCUGCCUAAACCUGUGUAAUUCGUACCCAGGAUUGGACAGUCACACUUUUUUAACAACCAGACUACACUAGACUGUAAAAAGUAGCAUGCACAGCAGCAAUCUUUUCUUUCCAACCAACUAUCCAACCUCCCUCCUCCUCUAUCUCCUCCUUUAACCCUAAAGUACGCAUUGUUCUUCCUCCUCCAUCGUUACACACACGUUAUCCUCUCUGCUCCUCUCACUCAUUAUAGUAUUCUCCGUUCCCCCACUACUAAAGCCUGCAUGCCCUUUAUUCUUCUGUAACAGAGCUCAGUGAGAGAGACAGAGAGAGCCAAGGGCUUGUGUGAUCUGCAUCGUGAUUCUUUCAUGCCAAUUAUGCAAGGGGUACUAAAUUAAGAAAUGGGUUGUCUGAUUGGCUUUUAGGACACGUAAAAUUGAAGCCAACCCCGAGUUGUAAUUGUAUAGUAUUAGAAUAUGCUAUAUGUCUACGUACCAAGAUCGAGAUGGCGUCUGUCUGAGUGAUGUGGCCCGCCUGGAGACAUGAAACCUUUUUGAGGAUUUCAGGUCCCGAGAGAUCGAUAUACAUAUAUAAUUGGCACAUGGGGAAUCCCAUCCUUGCAUGGCCCAGAAGUUAAUAUCAAUCAAUCAACACCAAUUAACUCUUUAGUUUUUUAUUUUCAGUUUCUGUCUUUCUGAUCCCAAUACCUAAUCUCUGAGUUCAACUCAUAAUUUAAUUCCUCCUCCCUUCUCUAUCUUUAGGAAAGUAAAUAAUCAUUUAGCUAGCUAGGUUUGGCAUGCCUUCGGUUCUAUUGUUUUAGCUAGCUAAUCAAGAUAGUUGCAGUUCGAAGAGGGGCGCCUUUACUACCUAGGGUUUACUACAGAACAUGGUGUGACUUGAUGAUAAUGAAGCUACUAGGCUUAAUUUUGUAGUUUGAUUGAGAGGCAUAGGCAGAAAGGGUGCUAUGACAUCUUUUAAAAUUUUGGUUUUACAUGUAUUUAGUUUUUGAAAUCUAACUGAAUUAGAGGAUUUUGUUAAUUAUGACACCCUUUUAUUAAUGAUGUCACCCUCAUUUCUAGUCUCUGGCUCCGCCAGUGUUGAGAUUGAGGUCAUCAGACCGAGCGACUAAACUCUUUUCAUUUCUAUCGGUUGAUUAAGUGUGUGACUUGGGUAUAUACUAGAGUACUAUAUAUUUUCUUAACUCAAAUGCCUCAUCAAUUUAGUUUAGCUGAUCGAGAUGUACGUUUUGGGGGUGGAGUUUGGGUCAGUCUCUUGUUUUUGGAACAAAAGAAUCUAGGGAUUCAAAAUGUAGAAGACUUGUAUUAUAGUUUCAAAGCUAUAUUAGGAGUGUUAGGAUUUUACCUAUGGAUUGAUGACCACAGUUUGAUCUUCAGUUGGUGGCCAAGGAUACGUACGUACUUCAUUUGCUUAUUUUGUAUGGAUCGGAGUCGGCAGAGUGAUGGUGAUGCGCAAUAGCUUGCCAAAGGGUCAUUUUCGAAGGGACUUAGAGGUGGGUACCUAGUAGCAUUUUGGGUGAGCUAACUAAUUAAUAAUCGUCUUGAUACCAAAUCGGUCUGGGAGUUAAUUAGGUCAGCUAUUGGAUUACCCAUGCUUUAUGGGAGCUACCUUACGGUUUUAACUUAAAUUAAUCACGUAUCUUUCUUUAGUUACAGCUCUCUGGUCAUACAUCAAACCAGAAAGAAGAAAAUGUCAUUGUGCCUACCAUGAGGGUCAUCAAAGUUUUACUUCUAUUGAUUCAUGCACUAGAGACAUGUCUUGGCAGUUCCUCAGCAGUGUGUGGUACGGAUUUCUUUUUUAUUAUGUCACUUCAGUCUUGCAUGUAUCAUAUACUUGUGCCUACUAAUCAUAUUAAUUACUAGAAUUUUAGUUUUGAUCCUCAUUUGUUACAGAUUCCUAAGCUCUAGUUUAUGUAAUACUUUGACCAUGUUCAAUAAAUAAAAUUUUCAUUCCCAUCCCCUUAAGAAGAAUACAGCAUUUAUUCAAAAAGAGAAACAAAUUAGAAUAAGACCCCAACGAAUCAAAAUGGAUGGUUCUUUUGAUAAGAACAUAGAAGGGGAGGCAUUGGGGUGGCGGGUCGUGAAUCUACUAGACAUUGUCUAAGGGAGCUCUACGAAUCAAUUGCUAACGAGGGCUCAGCAGAGUACAGGUUGAGGCUCUAGCGCGACGAGCUGCUGACUCACUCACUCACAUGCUAUUCAGCAUGAGCUGGCUCAGGUGAUUUUUGAGACCAAUUCACUUCGUAUGGUUCAAGCAACCAAGCAUAGCGUCAUUUCUCAUACUUCCCUUCAAGGACGUGUCUAUGAUAAUUAACUUUACCUUUGAUCUUUUAUAGGUUGUCGGUUCUUAUUUUGUCCAUUAUUAUUGUCAAGCCAAUUUUGUGGCUCACUUUCUAGCUAAUUAUGCACGUUGUAAUUCUCAUAAUGACAUAAUGUCAUUUGGGAUUCUGUUCCAUCUUGCUUUAUUUUGGAUAUACUUAAAAAAGAGAUUACUUCGAUUUAAUAAAGGUUAUCAGCUAACUUUAAAUAUAU